UACCCCUUCGCGAGGAGGAGAGGCUCCUCCUGUCGCUUUCUUCUUCACGCACGGUGGCGUGACCACCACCGCACAUGGUUGCCUCACCCACCUACUCAUCCCCCCUUUAAAUCCCUCUGCAGAUCCCCACAAAACCCUAGCCCUUCUCCCUCCCUCGCGCCGCCACCAGAGCCCCUUCCUUCCCUCAUUUUUUCUCUUCUUCUUGCACGUCCGAGCACCACCGCACCUUCCCCUCCAUGGUAACGCCGUUACCGGCCGCCCCUCGACGAACCGAAGACACCAGGAGAUCUGCCUCGUCGAGCUCUACAUCUUGGUGCAAGGAAUCGAGUCAAUACCCCGUAAUUCGAGCGCAAGGUCGCCGUUUCUCCUCCAUGGCCGCCACACUCCGGCGUUGAUUCCGGCCGCCCUCAUCCUCCUCCGUCCAAACCAAGGACACCUCCGGCUUCCUUGUGUUCUCCCGCAUCCCCGACGCCAAGUUCCCCUUCCCGAUCCGCGUUGAAUCGCCGGAUUGAGUCGCCACUGGAUCUUCCCGCCAUGGCUGCUGCUCUCAAGCUCGUCCUCGCCUCCCACUUCUUCUUAUUCGAGUGCACCAGUAAUCCGACAAGAUCUGAUCCGCAGCCCAGUGGUUCUUACUUGUUUCUUCUGUCCAACAGAUCCCGAGUUCAAUUCCUGGUUUAGGCAAAUAACCAACAUUUUUGUUUCCCAAUUGCUAAAAAGCGCUCGGGUGCUACUUGUCCGUCCGAGCACUCGUUUCUCAUCCGUUCGAUGUGCUCGAUCAGACGCGUCGUUCCGACAGCUUCGACAUCGAUGUGCCGUCGUCCCACCUUCUCGCUCCCCAUCCACACCGUGCAAUUGUUCCCCAUUCACAUCACAGGCGUGCCGCCCCACCCUCCACCGUCUCCCACACUGGCGGCAACCCGAAACCCCGGCGACCCCGCCCAAUCCUCCUGCUCCCCCACCCCGAGAUCCGUCGGCGCAGCACCUCCCCACCCUACCUCGAGCUAGACCGGACCUCCUUCCCCGUCGCCGCUAGAGCACGAACACCACAUAGUGGAACCGCCGCCGGGAGCAUCCCACGUCCCACUAGCACCACCUGGUGAUCCCACUUCCAGGGGAAUUGGUUGGGCCUCGACUUGGGGCUGCGCUCGUCAUGGUGGGGAUGAGAUGGGCGGGGGUUGGGGACCACCGUGCCUGGGAGCGAGAGGGGCUCCGCCCCACUAGGGAAGAGGAUAAGAUGAGGGGCCGGUCUUCGUGCUUGGGGUUGUCGUGGUGGAGGAGAGGAUGAGAGAGAGCAGCAGCACCGACUGGCGCCACACCAACGAACAGGAGGGGUAGGGGGUGACACGAACCCUGGGACUCGGUGCAGAUGGAACCAGGCGGGGCAGGGUACAGAGAGGCAUGAGGCUGGCAACAGCUGGGGAAGAAGGGGAUGCGGGGUCUGCUCCUUCAAAAUAUUGCUGGUGCUUAUUUGUGAUGUUGCUAAGUUGUAUCGGGAGGCGGUGGAUCCCGGGCGGCGAAUCUAGUACCAUCUCGAGAGCAGUGAUGGAGGCCAUGACACCUAGCUUCAGCAGGUGACAACGCCCAUGAUGCCUAGAGCGAGCGCAGUGGUGGAGGAGGCCAUGGAACCAAGUUUGAGCGGGUGAUGGCACCCACGAUGCAUAGCGCGAGCGCAAGCCUGCCAUGGCCCUGGCCAACAUAAGUUGAUUAUCCAUUUUAAUUAACUUACUCACGGCUGCCUUGCUAAGUUGAUUUCUGGUUAUGUUUUACUUUGCUAAACUUUGAUGUUAAGUUGCUUUCUAGGUAGUAUUAAAAAUGUCUUAACAUUGAUGCUAAGUUGUUUUUAUGCCUGAAGAGAUCAUACAUUCUUUUGUGAUUACAGAAGUUGUAGUUUUCAGUCGAAUCUAGAUCCCCAUGGAAAUCUGGAGGAGAAAGAAGAGGUGGAGUAGUUUGCUUUGCUGAACAAGUAUCUCGAGAAAGAAGAAGAGCUGGAGUAGUUCAUCAAGCAAUCUCACGCUGCUGUGUGAUGAUUUUUCCCUUAGGUGUAACCUUCCUGCUGAUUUUUCUUUACGUGUAACCUUCUUUUCUUUAGUGAUCGGAUGUUGAAUCGAUCAAAACAGUACUGGAUGCUCGAAUGAAUAAACCAGCAUCCGGAUGCUGGGUUGGACAAACCAGCACCGGAUGCUGCCUAGUCACGUCCUUUUUGUUUUGCUUUCUGUUCUUGCUA
Long non-coding RNA from Lolium perenne, 2224 nucleotides. RefSeq lists it as uncharacterized. The record is from RefSeq and is a predicted model, not a curated record. NCBI's taxonomy places the organism in Eukaryota, Viridiplantae, Streptophyta, Magnoliopsida, Poales, Poaceae.